RNAcentral lists this ribosomal RNA (419 nucleotides) under Bradyrhizobium japonicum. RNAcentral describes it as "bacterial SSU rRNA". It matches the Rfam family "Bacterial small subunit ribosomal RNA", at positions 174 to 623 of the family's 1533-position model. The record is from RNAcentral. Lineage: Bacteria; Pseudomonadati; Pseudomonadota; Alphaproteobacteria; Hyphomicrobiales; Nitrobacteraceae.
UAAGCCCUUACGGGGAAAGAUUUAUCGCCGAAAGAUCGGCCCGCGUCUGAUUAGCUAGUUGGUGAGGUAAUGGCUCACCAAGGCGACGAUCAGUAGCUGGUCUGAGAGGAUGAUCAGCCACAUUGGGACUGAGACACGGCCCAAACUCCUACGGGAGGCAGCAGUGGGGAAUAUUGGACAAUGGGGGGCAACCCCUGAUCCAGCCAUGCCGCGGUGAGUGAUGAAGGCCCUAGGGUUGUAAAGCUCUUUUGUGCGGGAAGAUAAUGACGGUACCGCAAGAAUAAGCCCCGGCUAACUUCGUGCCAGCAGCCGCGGUAAUACGAAGGGGGCUAGCGUUGCUCGGAAUCACUGGGCGUAAAGGGUGCGUAGGCGGGUCUUUAAGUCAGGGGUGAAAUCCUGGAGCUCAACCUCCAGAACUG